Molecule: transfer RNA, 72 nt
Filed under: Sphaerobolus stellatus SS14
Lineage: Eukaryota; Fungi; Basidiomycota; Agaricomycetes; Geastrales; Sphaerobolaceae
Description: tRNA-Ala (CGC) (tRNA-Ala-CGC-7-1)
Rfam family: tRNA
About the family: Transfer RNA (tRNA) molecules are approximately 80 nucleotides in length. Their secondary structure includes four short double-helical elements and three loops (D, anti-codon, and T loops).
Source: RNAcentral
GGGGGUUUAGUCUAGGGGUAUAAUAUUUGCUUCGCAUGCGAAAGGUUCUGGGUUCAAUUCCCAGAACGUCUA